AGUGAACGCUGGCGGUAGGCCUAACUCAUGCAAGUCGAACGGCAGCACAGGAGAGCUUGCUCUCUGGGUGGCGAGUGGCGGACGGGUGAGGAAUACAUCGGAAUCUACUCUGUCGUGGGGGAUAACGUAGGGAAACUUACGCUAAUACCGCAUACGACCUACGGGUGAAAGCAGGGGACCUUCUGGCCUUGCGCGAUUGAAUGAGCCGAUGGCGGAUUAGCUAGUUGGCGGGGUAAAGGCCCACCAAGGCGACGAUCCGUAGCUGGUCUGAGAGGAUGAUCAGCCACACUGGAACUGAGACACGGUCCAGACUCCUACGGGAGGCAGCAGUGGGGAAUAUUGGACAAUGGGCGCAAGCCUGAUCCAGCCAUACCGCGUGGGUGAAGAAGGCCUUCGGGUUGUAAAGCCCUUUUGUUGGGAAAGAAAUCCAGCUGGCUAAUACCCGGUUGGGAUGACGGUACCCAAAGAAUAAGCACCGGCUAACUUCGUGCCAGCCGCCGCCGUAA
RNAcentral lists this ribosomal RNA (506 nucleotides) under uncultured bacterium. RNAcentral's name for it is "partial 16S ribosomal RNA". It matches the Rfam family "Bacterial small subunit ribosomal RNA", at positions 29 to 523 of the family's 1533-position model. The record is from RNAcentral.